CUCUCUGUGCCGAGAUACUGGAGGCCCAGGCUCACGAGCUUGAAUAAAUUCUCUCUCCUGAUUUUGCAUUGGACCCUGGCUCCUUGGUGGUUCUUGGGGACAUUAUGAUCUGGGCACAACAUUUGGGGGCUCAUCCCUGGAUCCCCCAAACCCCACGGACCCCGUCCAGGAGAGUUUGCAAGAAUACUGGAAGAAAUCAUUGCCCUGUACAAUAGCGGGCCCACACCUGAGCCCCACGCAUGUCAGCCUGGCAACUGGGUGUAUGUAAAAUGCCACCAACACAAGACCCUCAAACCACGGUGGAAAGGACCCUACAUUGUUGUCCCCUCGACAUCCACCACACUCAAAGUAGACGGUAUCACGUCGUGGGUCCACUACACCCAUGCCUGCCUAGCUGAUCCAUUUGCUGCCAAAGAAGACUACACCCCAGAGUGGAAACUCCAAUGAGACCCUGACAAUCUGUUGAAGCUCAAACUGCGAAGAUGCCAGAAUCCUUGAUGUCACUUUCUUUCCCCUGCGUCCCCGAUCAGAGGCUCCAAAGAACACACAACAUCAUCUGGCGCAGCGAGCAGGGUCCACGGCUGGACCGAGGACCUGGUCAAAUUGUUCGUGGAGCAUCUGUUCAACCGAUCUUGAGGAGACAAUGAAUUCUGGUUCCCAGACAAACACAUCAAACUGCGACAUGACGCCAUGCUCUCGCCAAUGGCGCCCCCAACAGAGAAGGCGAAGAGGAGACAGGAAUCUGACUGUGGGGAUGCUCUGUCUGUCACUAAAAGAGCAGAGAAAACAACUAAUGCCUAGAUCCAGUCAGAGAAUGCAAAGGAAACGCCACUCCUCUCCCCCAAUAACUUGGGGAGGGAUUUCUCAACUAUGCCAGGAAGCAAAAACAACUGUGAUGGUGAGCAAUCAACCAGUGAGUGACCCCUCGAGCCUUGUUUCUUGCAAUGAUAGCCAUAAUUAACACACAGGUAAGUGCACAACAAAAUUAUACUUAUUGGAGUUAUAUUCCUAACCCACCAUUGUUAAGAGGAGUCUCAUGGCUUGAACCCUCUGUUCCUAUCUAUGUGAAUGAGAGUUCAUGGCUCCCUGGACCAUAUGAUGAUAGAGGUCCCUUUAAGCCAGAAGAAGAGGGAACAAUUCUCUCUAAUUAUUCCACUGGAGUCACGGGACCACCUAUAUGUUUAGGCCCAGAACCUCCUUGCUUA
Long non-coding RNA from Otolemur garnettii (small-eared galago), 1205 nucleotides. RefSeq lists it as uncharacterized. NCBI's taxonomy places the organism in Eukaryota, Metazoa, Chordata, Mammalia, Primates, Galagidae. The transcript has 4 exons. The record is from RefSeq and is a predicted model, not a curated record.